AGCAGCCGCGGUAAUUCCAGCUCCAAUAGCGUAUAUUAAAGUUGUUGCAGUUAAAAAGCUCGUAGUUGAAUUUCGGGAUUUAUCCGUCGGUCGGGCUUUUGGGUCUGUACUGGCGUGAUGGAUUCCUACCUUCUGAAUAACCGGCAUGUCAUUAAUUUGGUGCGCCGGGGAAGCAGGACUGUUACCUUGAAAAAAUUGAGUGCUUAAAGCAGGCUUAUGCCUGAAUACAUUAGCAUGGAAUAAUGAAAUAGGACGGCAUGGUUCUAUUUUGUGGUUUCUAGGAUCACCGUAAUGAUUAAUAGGGAUAGUUGGGGGCAUUAGUAUUCAAUUGUCAGAGGUGAAAUUCUUGGAUUUAUUGAAGACUAACUUCUGCGAAAGCAUUUGCCAAGGAUGUUUUCAUUAAUCAAGAACGAAAGUUAGGGAUCGAAGACGAUCAGAUACCGUCGUAGUACUUAACCAUAAACUAUGCCGACUAGGGAUCGGACGAUGUUAAUUUUUANGUACUCGUUCGCGCUUACGG
Molecule: ribosomal RNA, 520 nt
Filed under: uncultured Acaulospora
Lineage: Eukaryota; Fungi; Glomeromycota; Glomeromycetes; Diversisporales; Acaulosporaceae
Description: SSU rRNA
Rfam family: Eukaryotic small subunit ribosomal RNA
Source: RNAcentral